AAGGAUUUAAGUUAAAAAAAUAAACUUGUAGUCUUCAAAUCUACCAAUAAAGAUCCGCUUUAAGCCUUA
Molecule: transfer RNA, 69 nt
Filed under: Ochthebius paradoxus
Lineage: Eukaryota; Metazoa; Arthropoda; Insecta; Coleoptera; Hydraenidae
Description: tRNA-Trp
Source: RNAcentral